GCGAGCGUAGCCAAGCGGUUAAGGCAGAGGAUUGUGGAUCCUCCAUUCAUGGGUUCGAGUCCCAUCGUUCGCC
This 73-nucleotide transfer RNA is filed under the name Oscillatoriaceae cyanobacterium M7585_C2015_266. It matches the Rfam family "tRNA". Rfam says of the family: Transfer RNA (tRNA) molecules are approximately 80 nucleotides in length. Their secondary structure includes four short double-helical elements and three loops (D, anti-codon, and T loops). RNAcentral also lists the same sequence under 3 other names. The record is from Rfam by way of RNAcentral. Lineage: Bacteria; Bacillati; Cyanobacteriota; Cyanophyceae; Oscillatoriales; Oscillatoriaceae.